GACGAACGCUGGCGGCGUGCUUAACACAUGCAAGUCGAACGGAAAGGCCCUGCUUUUGUGGGGUGCUCGAGUGGCGAACGGGUGAGUAACACGUGAGUAACCUGCCCUUGACUUUGGGAUAACUUCAGGAAACUGGGGCUAAUACCGGAUAGGAGCUCCUGCUGCAUGGUGGGGGUUGGAAAGUUUCGGCGGUUGGGGAUGGACUCGCGGCUUAUCAGCUUGUUGGUGGGGUAGUGGCUUACCAAGGCUUUGACGGGUAGCCGGCCUGAGAGGGUGACCGGCCACAUUGGGACUGAGAUACGGCCCAGACUCCUACGGGAGGCAGCAGUGGGGAAUAUUGCACAAUGGGCGGAAGCCUGAUGCAGCAACGCCGCGUGCGGGAUGACGGCCUUCGGGUUGUAAACCGCUUUCGCCUGUGACGAAGCGUGAGUGACGGUAAUGGGUAAAGAAGCACCGGCUAACUACGUGCCAGCAGCCGCGGUGAUACGUAGGGUGCGAGCGUUGUCCGGAUUUAUUGGGCGUAAAGGGCUCGUAGGUGGUUGAUCGCGUCGGAAGUGUAAUCUUGGGGCUUAACCCUGAGCGUGCUUUCGAUACGGGUUGACUUGAGGAAGGUAGGGGAGAAUGGAAUUCCUGGUGGAGCGGUGGAAUGCGCAGAUAUCAGGAGGAACACCAGUGGCGAAGGCGGUUCUCUGGGCCUUUCCUGACGCUGAGGAGCGAAAGCGUGGGGAGCGAACAGGCUUAGAUACCCUGGUAGUCCACGCUGUAAACGGUGGGUACUAGGUGUGGGGUCCAUUCCACGGGUUCCGUGCCGUAGCUAACGCUUUAAGUACCCCGCCUGGGGAGUACGGCCGCAAGGCUAAAACUCAAAGGAAUUGACGGGGCCCCGCACAAGCGGCGGAGCAUGCGGAUUAAUUCGAUGCAACGCGUAGAACCUUACCUGGGUUUGACAUGGAUCGGGAGUGCUCAGAGAUGGGUGUGCCUCUUUUGGGGUCGGUUCACAGGUGGUGCAUGGCUGUCGUCAGCUCGUGUCGUGAGAUGUUGGGUUAAGUCCCGCAACGAGCGCAACCCUUGUUCACUGUUGCCAGCACGUUAUGGUGGGGACUCAGUGGAGACCGCCGGGGUCAACUCGGAGGAAGGUGGGGAUGACGUCAAGUCAUCAUGCCCCUUAUGUCCAGGGCCUCACGCAUGCUACAAUGGCUGGUACAGAGAGUGGCGAGCCUGUGAGGGUGAGCGAAUCUCGGAAAGCCGGUCUCAGUUCGGAUUGGGGUCUGCAACCCGACCUCAUGAAGUCGGAGUCGCUAGUAAUCGCAGAUCAGCAACGCUGCGGUGAAUACGUUCCCGGG
RNAcentral lists this ribosomal RNA (1343 nucleotides) under uncultured bacterium. RNAcentral describes it as "16S ribosomal RNA". It matches the Rfam family "Bacterial small subunit ribosomal RNA", at positions 28 to 1378 of the family's 1533-position model. The record is from RNAcentral.